GGUGUCAGAGCGGCACCACCACACCGCAAAGUGAAGAGAUGAUGCCGUGCCUGGGAGGGUGGCUGGAGAGUCCCCCAUCACUGCUAGUAUGGGAACGGUGAUGGUAUGCAGAGAGGAGGUGUGGUUAGAAGGGCCAUCAGAAAAGAGGAGGGAAGAGCUGGAGCUGUGAAGAAAGAUGAGAUCACUGAGAGCUGCUGAGUCCCAAAGAAUCAAAACGAAGCCCUGCUCUGAGGCUUGUGGCACCAGGAGGACCGCUUUCUCUGGAAGUUCCCUUACCUGAUUGAGAACACUUCUAAAAUAAAUGCAGCCGUCUUAAAGCCCCCUCCCUAUGAAUCUCAUUAAAUAACCAGGAAUGAUUAAUCACCCAAGAAAAGACUGAAAAAGAAGCUACAGCCAGGAUACCAUACCCAGACAGACUUUUCGUCUUUUCUUCUGAGGGAAGUUCCAAGAGAGAACCUGGGAGACUGUAUCUGCAUAAUAAGACAACCUUAGUUCACAGUGCAGUACCACCCCUCACCUUCCAUGACUUGUCCACAAGCUAUUGUUUGUCCUUCAGUCCCAUUCAGCAUCCAAAGAGAACCAUUUGCAAACCACUGUCAGGUAUUUGGGUCCAUUCAUUUACAGCCCCCCAGCUCCCUUUCCCUAGUGAAGAGAGUAUUUAAGUGCCAACCAUUGGGCCUUUCUGUGUAUGUUCAUAUUUUUUAUAUGGCUUCCCUGCUUCAUGCAUGUUAAUAAAUUUGUUAUGAUUUUCUCUUGUUAA
Long non-coding RNA from Pan troglodytes (chimpanzee), 760 nucleotides. RefSeq lists it as uncharacterized. The record is from RefSeq and is a predicted model, not a curated record. The transcript is spliced from 3 exons. NCBI's taxonomy places the organism in Eukaryota, Metazoa, Chordata, Mammalia, Primates, Hominidae.